CAUCCACACCGUCACUCUCUCUCUUCUCUCCCCCUCUCUCUCACCUGCCGCCACCUCCCACACCACCACCAUCCCGGCGAUCUGCUCCUCCGUCUUCUCCGGCGACAUCACCGUCGCUCCGGCGACAUCACCGUCUCCUCCGUCUUCUCCGGCAACAUCACCGUCUCCUCCGUCUUCUCCUGCGACAUAACCGUCUCCUCCGUUCCAGUGGAGGUGGUGGGUUUAAUGGUGUUUGUUGCUGGUUUGGGUUGUUGUAGGUUGGGGUUAGGGUUCUAGUGGGGGUGGUGAUGGUGGAGACGGUGGUGGGUGAAGGAGAGAGAGAGAGAAUCGAUGGUGGUGGGUGGGUUGUGUGGGUGGUUUUGGUGGAAGCAAAGAAGUCAUUUCCUCACACUUGAUGUAUACUCUUCACAUAAAGGUUGUCUUCCGGUCACUUUGACAUAAUAAUUUUGCCCUAUAAAUACUUCCAAAACUGCAUUCUCUAUGUACACUGACGACUCAAACUUUAAAAUCAGAGACGGUGGUGGGUGAACAGGGCCUGAUGAACAAUUUUGAUUGCUUAUUAUAUGCAAAAAAAAAAAAAAAAAUUUAUGAUUGUAAAAUUUGAAUUUAUUCUUAUAACAAUGGAAGUUCUUAUUUUUUUCAAUUUCAUUAGUUUGACCACAUGAAUCAAGCUUGUUAAUUUUGGUUUUGCAGACGAUUGAUGGUGGGCUUGUAAAUAUUUGGGGGAGAAGUGAUGAGAGAGGGAAUAGAGAGAGAAGGGAGAGUUUUUUAUUUUUCAAUGUUUUACAUAUAGUCCCUAAGUAAUAAUUUAUUACAAAAUAACCCCUAGGAGGCAAAAUGACAAAACUGCCCUCAUGUGCAAGGCACAUGACCAACUUUAACAAAAAAAUCUAACUGAGUUUGGCUUAAAGGACAUAACGUGCAGGAUUUUGAAACGUUAAGGACAAAACUCGUCAAUUUUAAAGACAAAGGACAGCGCCUGAAAUUUGAGACAAACAUAAAGGACAAAACUUGUAAUUUACUCUAUUUUUUUAUCAUAACUAUGAUAGUGUUUUUCUUUAUUUGGUUAACUCGAUGCAUCUUUUUUUAUAUUGUGUUACAAGUAGCAUGUAUAACUAACCGAAAUAAAUGUGUACAUAAUAUUAAACUAAGAAAUAUUUGGUUUAUCGUCCCGCAAUGCGG
RNAcentral lists this long non-coding RNA (1182 nucleotides) under Helianthus annuus (common sunflower). RNAcentral's name for it is "hypothetical non coding rna". Lineage: Eukaryota; Viridiplantae; Streptophyta; Magnoliopsida; Asterales; Asteraceae. The record is from RNAcentral.